This is a long non-coding RNA of Nicotiana tabacum (common tobacco), 2735 nucleotides long. RefSeq lists it as uncharacterized. Lineage: Eukaryota; Viridiplantae; Streptophyta; Magnoliopsida; Solanales; Solanaceae. The record is from RefSeq and is a predicted model, not a curated record.
UAAUAGGAAAACCUAUUCCCUUUAUUGAAGGGAUACAGAAUCGUGCCCUAGCCUACAUCGAAUGACACGAUUAAUGAAGUCGCGAUAACUCCUCUGCAAGCCUGCAUCGAUCAGGUCUCCGGCAACUUUUUCUAGAGAUUAAUUAAUCCUCUUCUUUCCAAGGUUCAAGCUUGUUGUAGAAAUCAUUCUUCUCCUUCACUUUCUUGUCUUUAUCGGCAAAAAAAUCUGCUUACAAGAAAUUUUCUACAUAUUGUGCUUCAAUUUCGUACUGGUUUCAUCGCCCCUUCGUCGAGUGUAUUUGGAAGAGGAGUUUUGGUCGAAGAUGCUUGGGAAAUAGCAAAGAGAUACUUGUCCUCUUACUUCUUGAUAGAUAUUCUUGCAGUUCUUCCUCUACCACAGGUUGUAAUUUUAAUUGUAAUUCCUAAAUUGCGGGGUGCUAGAUCUUUGAACAUGAAGAAUUUGCUGAAAUUUGUUGUUUUCUUCCAAUAUAUUCCGAGGCUCCUUCAAGUUUAUCCUUUAUAUAAGGAAUUCACAACUCACUGAAACAGCAUGGACUGGAGCUUCGUUCAAUCUUUUUCUUUAUAUGCUUGCCAGUCAUGUACUUCGAGCGUUUUGGUACCUGUUUUCAAUAGAACGUGAGUCUACUUGUUGGCAACGAGCAUGUGAAAAUUCAUCUGCGUGUCAUCUUUCUUCAUUGUACUAUGAUGAUGAUCAUACAUGAUUUAAAAUAUUGCUAAAUAGUUCAUGUCCUAUAGAUACACCAACGCAACACUUUUUGAUUUUGGGAUAUUCCUUGUCGCCCUCCAGUCUGGUGUUGUGGAAUCAAUGGAUUUUCCGCAGAAGUUCUUUUAUUGUUUCUGGUGGGGUCUGCAGAACUUGAGGUAUGCUUGCUAUAUUUGCUUGAGUUUUGCAUAUUCAACUGCAUGUUUGCUGUUGAUAUUUUUGUAUGUAUCACUCUGUCUAACCUCAUAUGCAUGUUUUAUAUUGUUGUUCUCCAACCAUGUAUUGCAAACUGAGGUAGGAAGAGUAAGAAACUCUUUUUGAUAGCUUUUGGCUUAUAUUUGUGUAUUUGUGGCUUAGCAUAGUGCACUUCACAUGAUGCUAGACAUUGCGGUUGUCCCUUUUCAAAGGAAUGUAUCGGUCUCUAAAAUUGAUAUGCCAAGGUGAGGGGGAGGGUAGGAGAUGGAUACUUGUCAUGCAAGAUAUAUCUCAAUCUGUCCAUAAAGUCCGGCCUUAAUUUUUUUUAUUUUUUAACAAGUUAUUUUAUAGCAUUGUGUAUAUAAAGUUUUGAAUAAACACAUAAAAUUAUUGAAGUUUUGAGUAAAAUAAAGAUAAACUAAAGAAUAUAAAGCGCAAGUUAUAGAAAAGGAUAAAUUGAUACUUGGUAAGCAACUUCGUAGUAAUAUAUCUAAAGAUGAAUGAACAAGCAAAUUUAGUUAGUUACAUUAUUUGUAUCCAACAUGAAUAGGAAUGGUUUCGCAAUUGAAGUUAUUCAACAAAUAUAAAUUCAAUAAUGAUCAAAUGAGAUUCAAACUGUUUAUCAAGAACGUCUGUUUAAAAACCUUUUGGAGGUGGGAUACUUCUAAAAUUAUUUGGAGGACUAUACUGUUUUGAUAUAACUCAAAGAAGGUGAGCAACAUUCCCUUAUAAUAUGAAUCAUUCGAAUGAGUAACUAACCUGAGUGGUUAAAAGGAGCUAUAAAGUUCAUGUGUAUGACUGUUUCAAUUGCAUCUUUCGAAAAAAAUGAUUCUUACACCUUUUUGAACAAUUAAAAACAAAGAAAAAAUGAUUCUUACACCUUUUUGAACAAUUAAGAAAGCAAAUUGGAAAAUAAACUAGUUAGUAGUUCAUGUAAGUAUUGUUCAAACAACAGAAAAUCUGACAAGAAAUUAUAGCAGUAAAGCUUUUCCUUAAAGUAUUGGUUUAGUAAAGCUUUUCCUUAAAGUAUUGGUUUACUUGUUCCUGUAAGCUUUCGUUUUCCGCGUGCAUACUUUAUGUCUGCAACCUUAGAGCUGGAAGGAAUAUGAAAGGAUGGUUGCAUCAUCUUCAUUUCUAGACUUGUAAAUAAGAUCAGUAGCUUAGAUAGUAAAGUUGUAUAGGAACUAAAGAGUCUUUUUUGUAUACUGUCUUUAGCUGAUAUAGCUAAGCUAAUGCACUGUACUGGUUUUUCACGGCUGAUUAAUGAAGCUUGUAAUUACCAAAAUAAAAACUUCAGUAUCUGACAAGAAAUUAGAGCAGUAAAACUUCAGUAUUAUAUACUUUGUGUAGAUUGCCUCAUGCAUUGCAGGGAUUUCCUCAUCUUCUAUAAAGUCCAAUUAUUCUUGCAGAACUGUUAAGUUCCGUGAUAUGUGGUUUAAUAUUACAUAAAAUGAAAUGAAAUAACUAAGUGUGAGGAGUACUUGUAUUACACACAAUUAUGGUGUUGUUCUUGUCACUACUUGUAAUUUCAGAAUACACCCUUUUCUUCUUAUGUUCCUCUAAUUUCUCCUGGAAGUCUGAUCCAUUACAACCCUCAGUGUGGCAUCCCUCAGUGGCUGCAAGAUUUUUGUGUUCUUUUAGGCAUGGAAAGUCCAUGAACUUGUGCAAAUUGGUAUUUAACAUGUAGUUGGUUCACAGCUGUGAUUACUUAUCUUUUCACUGCCCGCAUGGUUGGUCUGAUGGUGCUGUGCAUUAGACAGUGUACAUGUUUUUACUGUCUAAAUUGGUAUAAUUAUCUGUGUCUUGCAUUCCUCUUA